This 426-nucleotide ribosomal RNA is filed under the name uncultured prokaryote. RNAcentral's name for it is "bacterial SSU rRNA". It matches the Rfam family "Bacterial small subunit ribosomal RNA", at positions 355 to 796 of the family's 1533-position model. The record is from RNAcentral.
UGGGGAAUUUUCUGCAAUGGGGGCAACCCUGACGGAGCAACGCCGCGUGCGGGAGGAAGGCCUUUGGGUUGUAAACCGCUUUUCUCAGGGAAGAAGCUCUGACGGUACCUGAGGAAUCAGCCUCGGCUAACUCCGUGCCAGCAGCCGCGGUAAUACGGAGGAGGCAAGCGUUAUCCGGAAUCAUUGGGCGUAAAGCGUUCGCAGGCGGCGAUUCAAGUCUGCUGUCAAAGCCCGCAGCUCAACUGCGGACAGGCAGUGGAAACUGAAGCACUAGAGUACGGUAGGGGUAGAGGGAAUUUCCAGUGUAGCGGUGAAAUGCGUAGAGAUUGGAAAGAACACCAGUGGCGAAGGCGCUCUACUGGACCGUAACUGACACUCAGGGACGAAAGCGAGGGGAGCGAAAGGGAUUAGAUACCCCGGUAGUCC